GAUGAACGCUGGCGGCGUGCCUAAUACAUGCAAGUCGAGCGAACGGACGAGAAGCUUGCUUCUCUGAUGUUAGCGGCGGACGGGUGAGUAACACGUGGAUAACCUACCUAUAAGACUGGGAUAACUUCGGGAAACCGGAGCUAAUACCGGAUAAUAUUUUGAACCGCAUGGUUCAAAAGUGACAGACGGUCUUGCUGUCACUUAUAGAUGGAUCCGCGCUGCAUUAGCUAGUUGGUAAGGUAACGGCUUACCAAGGCAACGAUGCAUAGCCGACCUGAGAGGGUGAUCGGCCACACUGGAACUGAGGCGCGGUCCAGACUCCUACGGGAGGCAGCAGUAGGGAAUCUUCCGCAAUGGGCGAAAGCCUGACGGAGCAACGCCGCGUGAGUGAUGAAGGUCUUCGGAUCGUAAAACUCUGUUAUUAGGGAAGAACAUAUGUGUAAGUAACUGUGCACAUCGUGACGGUACCUAAUCAGAAAGCCACGGCUAACUACGUG
This 497-nucleotide ribosomal RNA is filed under the name uncultured bacterium. RNAcentral describes it as "partial 16S ribosomal RNA". It matches the Rfam family "Bacterial small subunit ribosomal RNA", at positions 28 to 507 of the family's 1533-position model. The record is from RNAcentral.